CACAGCCAUUGUAGCAAAGAUACUUCUGCA
This 30-nucleotide non-coding RNA is filed under the name Callithrix jacchus (white-tufted-ear marmoset). The record is from RNAcentral. RNAcentral also lists the same sequence under 1 other name. Lineage: Eukaryota; Metazoa; Chordata; Mammalia; Primates; Cebidae.